This 490-nucleotide ribosomal RNA is filed under the name uncultured bacterium. Its description in RNAcentral is "partial 16S ribosomal RNA". It matches the Rfam family "Bacterial small subunit ribosomal RNA", at positions 30 to 507 of the family's 1533-position model. The record is from RNAcentral.
AUUGAACGCUGGCGGCAGGCCUAACACAUGCAAGUCGAACGGUAACAGGAAGCAGCUUGCUGCUUCGCUGACGAGUGGCGGACGGGUGAGUAAUGUCUGGGAAACUGCCUGAUGGAGGGGGAUAACUACUGGAAACGGUAGCUAAUACCGCAUAACGUCCCAAGACCAAAGAGGGGGACCUUAGGGCCUCUUGCCAUCGGAUGUGCCCAGAUGGGAUUAGCUAGUAGGUGGGGUAACGGCUCACCUAGGCGACGAUCCCUAGCUGGUCUGAGAGGAUGACCAGCCACACUGGAACUGAGACACGGUCCAGACUCCUACGGGAGGCAGCAGUGGGGAAUAUUGCACAAUGGGCGCAAGCCUGAUGCAGCCAUGCCGCGUGUAUGAAGAAGGCCUUCGGGUUGUAAAGUACUUUCAGCGGGGAGGAAGGGAGUAAAGUUAAUACCUUUGCUCAUUGACGUUACCCGCAGAAGAAGCACCGGCUAACUCCGUG